GUGUUUGGGCUAAUAUAAUGUUGCCUAAUGAUUUUUUUUUGGUAGAAAAUGUUGGUUAAUGACGGUUACUGAUUGCAAGUUUUCUUUUUUUCUUUUUAUUAUAUUACACAAAUAGCACAAAAUAUACAUGGGUUUAAUUUUGAGUUGCUGCUAGCUAGGAGUUGAUACGAUACGAUGAUAACAUUCCCCCGUACGUGAUAGGUUCAGUCAGGUCAUGAAAGAUUCAGUUAAGGCCGUAACAUGCAUGCGUCAAGCUAGUCCGCAUAUUAAAUGAAGAGAGUAUGAAACACAGGUAAACUGAAGCGAACUGGGCAAACAUGUAACAAAACAUUGUGAUUUCC
Molecule: long non-coding RNA, 341 nt
Filed under: Linum usitatissimum (flax)
Lineage: Eukaryota; Viridiplantae; Streptophyta; Magnoliopsida; Malpighiales; Linaceae
Description: long non-coding RNA (LUSI_LNC006638)
Source: RNAcentral